UGACUUCUACAGGAGCACAUAAAGAAA
This 27-nucleotide non-coding RNA is filed under the name Mus musculus (house mouse). The record is from RNAcentral. Lineage: Eukaryota; Metazoa; Chordata; Mammalia; Rodentia; Muridae.